GACAGAGGUCCCGAGCGUUAGGCGGAAUCACUGGGCUUAAAGCGUGUGUAGGCGGAUUUGUAAGUACCUUGUGAAAUCCCACGGCUUAACCGUGGAACUGCUUGGUAUACUGCUUAUCUUGGGCCAUCUAGGGGCUACUGGAACAAACGGUGGAGCGGUGAAAUGCGUAGAUAUCGUUUGGAACGCCAAUGGUGAAAACAAGUAGCUGGGGAUGUGCCGACGCUGAGACACGAAAGCCAGGGGAGCAAACGGG
This 253-nucleotide ribosomal RNA is filed under the name uncultured bacterium. Its description in RNAcentral is "partial 16S ribosomal RNA". It matches the Rfam family "Bacterial small subunit ribosomal RNA", at positions 524 to 776 of the family's 1533-position model. The record is from RNAcentral. RNAcentral also lists the same sequence under 1 other name.